CAGUCAUUGGACGGUAGACCAGUAUAACCAGUGGUUAGAAACUGGGUCGUGGCAUUCUCAUCUUAUAAGUGGGCGUGAAUGAAUUAAACAAAAAAAAAAAAAAAAAAACACUUGGUGUAUUUGUGUGUUUGAUAGACAAGCGCAGUGCCCUGAGGGGCGGGAUUAUACCUGCGUGCAGUAGUGAGUAUGUGCAUGCGUUUUCUUAUAAGUACCUCGUUGGGGAGGAAAGGUUGUUGUGAAUAUCUGUUAUUAGAACUCAUCUUAGACGUCGGUGUAGCAGGUUCUGACAUUUGGUUGUGUGAUGCUUUGGAUUAUAAGAAGUUAUUGAAAUGAAAGAGAAAAUGCCUUACUUUGACAAGCAGUUCGUGUUGCUGAAGGGUCUUGAGAGCUGAAGAACCUAGGAUACACAGUGGACGGUUGGGUCAGGAGCUUACAGGAAGAUGACUGACUUUGGCACACAUUUCUGG
Molecule: long non-coding RNA, 467 nt
Organism: Protopterus annectens (West African lungfish)
Lineage: Eukaryota; Metazoa; Chordata; Ceratodontiformes; Protopteridae
Exons: 3
Source: RefSeq, a predicted model, not a curated record